Molecule: ribosomal RNA, 1313 nt
Filed under: metagenome
Description: bacterial LSU rRNA
Rfam family: Bacterial large subunit ribosomal RNA
Source: RNAcentral
GGAUUGGGAGGGUUCUACGGAACCCGUUUGGUGAAUCUAGUGCCGAGAAAAGCCUUCUAUGUGUUGAAUUUCUAGUACCCGUACCCCAAACCGACACAGGUGGGUGGGUAGAGCAUACCUAGGGGCGCGUGAUAACUCUCUCUAAGGAACUCGGCAAAAUGGCCCUGUAACUUCGGGAUAAGGGGUGCCUGCGUGAGCAGGCCGCAGUGAAAUGGCUCUGGCGACUGUUUACCAAAAACACAGGUCUCUGCUAAGUCGUAAGACGAUGUAUAGGGGCUGACUCCUGCCCAGUGCCGGAAGGUUAAGGAAGUUGGUUAGCGCAAGCGAAGCUGGCGACCGAAGCCCCGGUGAACGGCGGCCGUAACAAUAACGGUCCUAAGGUAGCGAAAUUCCUUGUCGGGUAAGUUCCGACCCGCACGAAAGGAGUAACGAUCAGAGCGCUGUCUCGGAGAGAGACACGGCGAAAUAGGAUUGUCCGUGAAGAUACGGACUACCUGCACCCGGACAGAAAGACCCUAUGAAGCUUUACUGUAACUUGGAAUUGUGUUCGGACUUUGUCUGCGCAGAAUAGGUGGGAGGCUAUGAAACGUUCCUCGCGGGGAACUGGAGCCAUCGUUGAGAUACCACUCUGGCAGAGUCUGGAUUCUAACCUACGGGGACAGUUCCAGGUGGGCAGUUUGACUGGGGCGGUCGCCUCCUAAAAUGUAACGGAGGCGCGCAAAGGUUCCCUCAGGCUGGUUGGAAAUCAGCCAUAGAGUGUAAAAGCAUAAGGGAGCUUGACUGUGAGACCUACAAGUCGAGCAGGGACGAAAGUCGGCUUUAGUGAUCCGACGGCACUGAGUGGAAGGGCCGUCGUUCAACGGAUAAAAGUUACUCUAGGGAUAACAGGCUGAUCUCCCCCAAGAGUUCACAUCGACGGGGAGGUUUGGCACCUCGAUGUCGGCUCGUCGCAACCUGGGGCGGUAGUACGUCCCAAGGGUUGGGCUGUUCGCCCAUUAAAGCGGCACGUGAGCUGGGUUCAGAACGUCGUGAGACAGUUCGGUCCAUAUCCGGUGUAGGCGUAGGAGCAUUGAAAGGAUCUCUCCUUAGUACGAGAGGACCGGGAGGGACGUACCUCUGGUGUACCUGUUAUCGUGCCAACGGUAAACGCAGGGUAGCCAUGUACGGAGUGGAUAACCGCUGAAAGCAUCUAAGUGGGAAGCCCACCUUAAGAUGAGUGCUCCCUUGAGGCCACGGGAAGACGACCCGUUUGAUAGGCGCUAGGUGGAAGUGCAGUAAUGCAUGCAGCCGAGGCGUACUAAUAGGCCGAUGGC